AUGCAGUCGACGAUGACCUGGUGCUUGCACUGGUGAUUAGUGGCGAACGGGUGAGUAACACGUGAGUAACCUGCCCUUAACUCUGGGAUAAGCCUGGGAAACUGGGUCUAAUACCGGAUAUGACUCCUCAUCGCAUGGUGGGGGGUGGAAAGCUUUAUUGUGGUUUUGGAUGGACUCGCGGCCUAUCAGCUUGUUGGUGAGGUAAUGGCUCACCAAGGCGACGACGGGUAGCCGGCCUGAGAGGGUGACCGGCCACACUGGGACUGAGACACGGCCCAGACUCCUACGGGAGGCAGCAGUGGGGAAUAUUGCACAAUGGGCGAAAGCCUGAUGCAGCGACGCCGCGUGAGGGAUGACGGCCUUCGGGUUGUAAACCUCUUUCAGUAGGGAAGAAGCGAAAGUGACGGUACCUGCAGAAGAAGCGCCGGCUAAYUACGUGCCAGCAGCCGCGGUAAUACGUAGGGCGCAAGCGUUAUCCGGAAUUAUUGGGCGUAAAGAGCUCGUAGGCGGUUUGUCGCGUCUGCCGUGAAAGUCCGGGGCUCAACUCCGGAUCUGCGGUGGGUACGGGCAGACUAGAGUGAUGUAGGGGNAGACUGGAAUUNCCUGGUGUAGCGGUGAAAUGCGCAGAUAUCAGGAGGAACACCGAUGGCGAAGGCAGGUCUCUGGGCAUUAACUGACGCUGAGGAGCGAAAGCAUGGGGAGCGAACAGGAUUAGAUACCCUGGUAGUCCAUGCCGUAAACGUUGGGCACUAGGUGUGGGGGACAUUCCACGUUUUNCCGCGCCGUAGCUAACGCAUUAAGUGCCCCGCCUGGGGAGUACGGCCGCAAGGCUAAAACUCAAAGGAAUUNGACGGGGGNCCCGCACAASCGGCGGARNCAUGCGGANUUAAUUNCGAUGCAACGCNGAAGAACCUUNACCAAGGCUUGACAUGAACCNGGAAAUGCCUGGAAACANGGUGCCCCSCNUUGCGGUCGGUUUACANGGUGGUGCAUGGUUKUCSUCAGCUCGUGUCGUGAGAUGUUGGGUUAAGUCCCGCAACGAGCGCAACCCUCGUUCUAUGUUGCCAGCGCGUUAUGGCGGGGACUCAUAGGAGACUGCCGGGGUCAACUCGGAGGAAGGUGGGGACGACGUCAAAUCAUCAUGCCCCUUAUGUCUUGGGCUUCACGCAUGCUACAAUGGCCGGUACAAAGGGUUGCGAUACUGUGAGGUGGAGCUAAUCCCAAAAAGCCGGUCUCAGUUCGGAUUGGGGUCUGCAACUCGACCCCAUGAAGUCGGAGUCGCUAGUAAUCGCAGAUCAGCAACGCUGCGGUGAAUACGUUCCCGGGCCUUGUACACACCGCCCGUCAAGUCACGAAAGUUGGUAACACCCGAAGCCGGUGGCCUAACCCCUG
This 1392-nucleotide ribosomal RNA is filed under the name Pseudarthrobacter oxydans. Its description in RNAcentral is "bacterial SSU rRNA". Lineage: Bacteria; Bacillati; Actinomycetota; Actinomycetes; Micrococcales; Micrococcaceae. The record is from RNAcentral.